This is a long non-coding RNA of Phodopus roborovskii (desert hamster), 523 nucleotides long. RefSeq lists it as uncharacterized. NCBI's taxonomy places the organism in Eukaryota, Metazoa, Chordata, Mammalia, Rodentia, Cricetidae. The transcript is spliced from 5 exons. The record is from RefSeq and is a predicted model, not a curated record.
AUGGCUGGCUACGGUCUGUCGCGCUCUGCAGGGUUCCUGAAUGUUGAGCCCCGCGCCGGCCUCGUGCAGCAGCCUCCUCACACUCGCCAGCAGGGCCUAGCCACAUGCACGAUGGAUUUGAGGACACCCGCCUGCCGUUUACUGUUAGAAAAGGAAUGAGCUCUGAAGACUACACAGGCUUCAUCCUGAUCCCUAUAUUGUGGGCUGCCCUCAGGGGCCCAGCCUAAGGUGGAACCUGCUAGAAGUGACCCAGGAUGCUUUGAUUGUACUUGCCCAAUCAUUCUGCUGUCAGGUGGAAGGCAAGCGCUUCUUCCUGCUUGCUAUGGUGGACUUAACUACUACAAAAGGUGAAGACUUUGUUUUUGCUGUGUCAACAGCUGCUAUGAACAAUAUCAGCUGGACUUGUGGCCCAGAAUGGACAGCAUCACUCAUUUGAGCUAUGCAAAGGAAGCUUGUCUCUCCCUAAAAUAAAUACAUAUUUUAUCUUGGUUUUCUCUGGAAGAUUCUAAUAAAAUACUUAAAC